AGAGGGGCUCCUGCGGGAGCAGAGAGAGAAUUUACUGCUGCGGCAGUACAAAGAAUGUUUAGGCUAUUAAAUACGAGAGGUGUGAGAAUUCAUUGCGUGCCGGGAAAAUUUGUCAAUGGAAUGACAAGGUGUUUGCGGCUUAUAUAGUACACGUGUAAUGAUGAUUGACAUGACUGAAUGUUUAGGCUCCUCCCGAACCUACGUUUGGAACUUCAUUUGAUGAUACUUACUAUGCAAAAAAUUACAGGGGACCAUAUAAAGAUCUUAUGGAACAGCCUACAAAUGUUUCCACAGUCCAUGAGACAGAGAUGCCAUCAAAUGAAUCAUCAAAGUGUUUGCCUUCACUACAAGAUGUUUUUAAGAAAAUACAUGCAUUUCUGAAAAGGAUUUCCUUUAUAGUAAUUUUCCUACUGAGUCUUUUGUUAAUCGGAUUGGAGGAGUUCAUGGAAAUACAAGUUUUUGUAUGCCCGUGCAGACAUGAUCUCAAUGUACAACUAACAGCGUGCAUCUUCAUCGGACCUGCUCUUUUUGUUUUUGAAUUAUUGUUCCUCUUUUUAAGGCCUUUUAAAGAUAGUUGUAGUGGUUGUUGUGCAGGAGCAAAUGAUGAUACUCAGCAGAACUGUCCUAAAGCUUUCACAACAUGUCUGAUUCCACCUGUAAUGUGGGUCAUCAUCUUGUUACUUGAUGGAGAUUAUGUUGCUUGUGCCAUGACAGACUGGAAGGGAGUUUCUGUUUUUGAUAAUCAGCUCAACAGGUCGUGGUGUAAACCUGUCGAAGGGUUCCGAAAUGAGACAGCUCUACGAAAUGUGACUCAAAAAUAUAUUCAUCAAUCUCAGAUAUAUGGUUAUGCUGUGAGCUCUGUCUUCAUUGUCUUGCCAAUUAUCUAUGUGGGAAUUUUUGAUUGCUGUGGGAAAUCUGCCUGCUGAUCCAAAGCUGGACAUGAUGGAACACAACCGGAUACAACCAGGAACAACAACCCCUUCCCACACUGCAGACUUACCUGUGUAUAACUUGAACUAUUUGAAAAAAACAAACUUUUUAAAUAUAGAUUCAGGUUCAUUUGUUUCAUGUUAUAGCCCAGUGCCCGAGAUUCAUUUGCUGUUUACAUACUUUCUCCUCUAGAUUGUUACUAAUAUAAAUCUGUUUGUUGGUCUCCCACGUCACACGCAGACCAAAAAUAAA
Molecule: long non-coding RNA, 1182 nt
Organism: Ctenopharyngodon idella (grass carp)
Lineage: Eukaryota; Metazoa; Chordata; Actinopteri; Cypriniformes; Xenocyprididae
Exons: 3
Source: RefSeq, a predicted model, not a curated record